Molecule: signal recognition particle RNA, 265 nt
Filed under: Chloroflexota bacterium
Lineage: Bacteria; Bacillati; Chloroflexota
Description: Chloroflexi bacterium (groundwater metagenome) signal recognition particle sRNA large type
Rfam family: Bacterial large signal recognition particle RNA
About the family: The signal recognition particle (SRP) is a universally conserved ribonucleoprotein involved in the co-translational targeting of proteins to membranes.
Source: RNAcentral
UCGUGCUAGAUGGGGAGCUAGCGGUGCCCUGAACCUGCAAUCCGCUACAGCAGGAUGGAAUUCCCUUCUGAGGCUCUUUGCCCGGUGGGACUGCCUGGUUUAAGUGGUGUUGAAGGCUGGGUCUUACGCGGCGGAGAGCUAUGAACCCCGUCAGGUCCGAGAGGAAGCAGCGGUAAAUAGCGAAACUCCGGGUGCCGUAGGGUCGCCUGGCCGGAGCCGGCUGGGCCGGGCAAGCCGUCGGACGGAGUCGAAGGUGGGUGCACGA